CGAGCACGCGCGUGUGGCAUAUCAAUAAGCGGAGGAAAAGAAACUAACAAGGAUUCCCUUAGUAACGGCGAGUGAAGCGGGAAGAGCUCAAAUUUGAAAUCUUCAAGGUUCUACCUUGACGAAUUGUAGUUUAUAGAAGUGUUUUCUGUUAGUGGAGUGGCAAAAGUUCUUUGGAAUAGGACAUCAUAGAGGGUGAGAAUCCCGUAUUUGGUCAUUCCUCCUAGCGUUGUGAUACACUUUCAACGAGUCGGAUUGUUUGGGAAUGCAGUCCAAAAUGGGUGGUAAAUUUCAUCUAAAGCUAAAUAUUGGCGAGAGACCGAUAGCGAACAAGUACCGUGAGGGAAAGAUGAAAAGAACUUUGAAAAGAGAGUUAAACAGUACGUGAAAUUGUCAAAAGGGAAGCGUUUGACACCAGUGUUGUUUUUCCGAAAAUCAAUUACGAAUGUUUUGUUUUUGAGGAGUUAUGACUUCAUCGGCUUGCUCCUUUCUUUAUGAAACUUUCUUAAUGCACUUUUCGGUUAACAAGUCAACAUCAAUUUCUUUUGUUGUAAAAGGGUAUGAGGAAGGUGGCUUUCUUUUCGGAGAAAGUGUUUAUAGCCUUGUGCCUCUGCAAUCGGAGAGAUUGAGGUCUGCAGCGUAGAUCCUUCGGGGUUAGAUACAUUUGUGCUAAGUUAUAGCUUGUCAUAGACAACUUGUUGACCUAUGUUCAGUCAUUGUAGCUUACUCGCUUACUGCUAUUUUACCUACGCUUAGGAUGUUGAUGUGAUACUGCGAGCA
RNAcentral lists this ribosomal RNA (777 nucleotides) under uncultured Neocallimastigales. Its description in RNAcentral is "partial large subunit ribosomal RNA". It matches the Rfam family "Eukaryotic large subunit ribosomal RNA", at positions 19 to 646 of the family's 3401-position model. The record is from RNAcentral. Lineage: Eukaryota; Fungi; Neocallimastigomycota; Neocallimastigomycetes; Neocallimastigales.